AACGAACGCUGGCGGCAGGCUUAACACAUGCAAGUCGAACGCCCCGCAAGGGGAGUGGCAGACGGGUGAGUAACGCGUGGGAAUCUACCCAAUUCUACGGAACAACAGUUGGAAACGACUGCUAAUACCGUAUACGCCCUACGGGGGAAAGAUUUAUCGGAAUUGGAUGAGCCCGCGUUGGAUUAGCUAGUUGGUGGGGUAAAGGCCUACCAAGGCGACGAUCCAUAGCUGGUCUGAGAGGAUGAUCAGCCACAUUGGGACUGAGACACGGCCCAAACUCCUACGGGAGGCAGCAGUGGGGAAUAUUGGACAAUGGGCGCAAGCCUGAUCCAGCCAUGCCGCGUGAGUGAUGAAGGUCUUAGGAUUGUAAAGCUCUUUCACCGGAGAAGAUAAUGACGGUAUCCGGAGAAGAAGCCCCGGCUAACUUCGUGCCAGCAGCCGCGGUAAUACGAAGGGGGCUAGCGUUGUUCGGAAUUACUGGGCGUAAAGCGCACGUAGGCGGAUAUUUAAGUCAGGGGUGAAAUCCCAGAGCUCAACUCUGGAACUGCCUCUGAUACUGGGUAUCUUGAGUAUGGAAGAGGUGAGUGGAAUUGCGAGUGUAGAGGUGAAAUUCGUAGAUAUUCGSMAGAACACCAGUGGCGAAGGCGGCUCACUGGUCCAUAACUGACGCUGARGGUGSAAGCGUGGGGRAGCAAAC
This 697-nucleotide ribosomal RNA is filed under the name uncultured Rhizobium sp. RNAcentral describes it as "bacterial SSU rRNA". It matches the Rfam family "Bacterial small subunit ribosomal RNA", at positions 28 to 773 of the family's 1533-position model. Lineage: Bacteria; Pseudomonadati; Pseudomonadota; Alphaproteobacteria; Hyphomicrobiales; Rhizobiaceae. The record is from RNAcentral.